This is an RNA transcript of Sapajus apella (tufted capuchin), 1781 nucleotides long. It is a transcript of the gene named ADP-sugar pyrophosphatase pseudogene, with no coding region annotated. The transcript has a single exon. Lineage: Eukaryota; Metazoa; Chordata; Mammalia; Primates; Cebidae. The record is from RefSeq and is a predicted model, not a curated record.
UAAUUUCAGAAGGAGAAUGGGUCAAGCUUGAAAAAACAACAUACAUGGACCCUACUGGUAAAACUAGAACUUGGGAAUCAGUGAAACGUACGACCAGGAAAGAACAGAGUGCUGAUGGUGUAGCGGUCAUCCCUGUGCUACAGAGAACACUUCAUUACGAGUAUAUCGUUUUGGUGAAACAGUUCCGACCACCCAUGGGCGGCUACUGCAUAGAGUUCCCUGCAGGUCUCAUAGAUGAUGGUGAAACCCCAGAAGCAGCUGCUCUUCGGGAGCUUGAGGAAGAAACUGGCUACAAAGGGGAUGUUGCCGAAUGUUCUCCAGCUGUCUGUAUGGACCCAGGCUUGACGAAGUGUACCACACACAUUGUGACAGUAACCAUUAACGGAGAUGAUGCCGAAAACCUAAGGCCCAAGCCAAAGCCAGGGGAUGCAGAAUUUGUGGAAGUCAUUUCUUUACCAAGAAUGAUCUACUGCAGAGACUUGAUGCUCUGGUAGCUGAAGAACAUGUUACAGUGGAUGCUAGAGGCUAUUCCUAUGCUUUAGCGCUAAAACAUGCAAAUGCAAAGCUAUUUGAAGUGCCCUUCCUGAAAUUUUAAGGCCAAAGAUGACGCUGGCCACUUUUGUAAAUGAGACCACCAGGCCUUCUUCACUAAGACUUUGUCUUCAACUUAGCUUAAUGUAGAUUUGAAAUUAGCUUUUUCAUAAAAUAAAAGCAGCACAGAAUGCAAAAAAAAAAAAAAAAUGAGGUUCAACUCAGAAAAGAGAUUGCAAAUGCCAUGAAAGAAUGAUUUAAUGUGUAAACAUGAGCCAGACCAUGUGGAAUUUGAGAGGGUACCUAUGAUAUGUCUAAUUUGUAUAUAGUUUAUUCACUAAGAUUCUCUUUGUGUUUUCUUGUAAACAGCUACCAGGACCCAAGGCAGGGAUGAGGGCAUUCCAAGGAAAGUAGAAAGGCAUGAAUCCAAGUGGCUCUGUCUUUGGAGGAGAAACUGUAUUCUUUUAGAUGUUGGUAAUAGAACAUUUCCCAGGAAAUGGCAUUAGAGACUGUGUUGAAGGGUCCUCUGGGGGUGGGUUUUGGCUUAUGUAUAUGUAAUAACUGUAACACAGGUAACUCUAUCCAUGGGUAAAAAGGCAAAACUAAUGCUAACUAGUAAUAUUUUCUGUGAGCUGUUAUUUAGCUAACCCCAAUACAUCUUUUCAUGCAAGAGUUUGAAUCUCUCUUGACCAAAAUAUAUGUUCACUUUUCAACGUUGAAUUAAUGGAUACAAAUUACUUUAAUGAUGUCUUACAUUAUAGGUUUUUUUAAAAGCCUUAAACAUGAAAUUACCUCAAAUAGAAGUUAGCCAUAUCUACUUAAUCUCUACAUUUUAACCAAAUGAUCAAAUGUACGUAUCCCACUUGCUCCACAUAAUACUAUUAAUAGUUUGAGUGAAAGCUAAUCAAAGUAAUCAGAAAAUACCUUGUGUUUUUUUGUUGAAAUUGAAGGAAUGAAAAUAAGUUUACUUACAUUAAAGCUGACUUUUCAUAGACAUACUUUCUAUGCUAGGUGGUAAAAAACCUACUCAAGAUUGGGGCAGGGUGCAUUUACCUGUCCCAAUUUUGUAACUGUGCUAUAAACACAUUGGCAAAACAGUCCAAAACUAAAUCAGAUAGAAACAUGAAUCUGUGUUCUCAGAGAUAUUGUUAAUGAGCCACAGGUGAGCAGGGGUCGUGCCUCCAAUUGCUUUGAAACCUUUGUUACUCAUGUAGUGGUUACCCACUAAUAAAUAUUUGUUGAGCGACUCA